GACGAACGCUGGCGGCGUGCUUAACACAUGCAAGUCGAACGGAAAGGCCCUGCUUUUGUGGGGUGCUCGAGUGGCGAACGGGUGAGUAACACGUGAGUAACCUGCCCUUGACUUUGGGAUAACUUCAGGAAACUGGGGCUAAUACCGGAUAGGAGCUCCUGCUGCAUGGUGGGGGUUGGAAAGUUUCGGCGGUUGGGGAUGGACUCGCGGCUUAUCAGCUUGUUGGUGGGGUAGUGGCUUACCAAGGCUUUGACGGGUAGCCGGCCUGAGAGGGUGACCGGCCACAUUGGGACUGAGAUACGGCCCAGACUCCUACGGGAGGCAGCAGUGGGGAAUAUUGCACAAUGGGCGGAAGCCUGAUGCAGAAACGCCGCGUGCGGGAUGACGGCCUUCGGGUUGUAAACCGCUUUCGCCUGUGACGAAGCGUGAGUGACGGUAAUGGUAAAGAAGCACCGGCUAACUACGUG
RNAcentral lists this ribosomal RNA (467 nucleotides) under uncultured bacterium. RNAcentral describes it as "partial 16S ribosomal RNA". It matches the Rfam family "Bacterial small subunit ribosomal RNA", at positions 28 to 507 of the family's 1533-position model. The record is from RNAcentral.